This 1178-nucleotide long non-coding RNA is filed under the name Physcomitrium patens. RNAcentral describes it as "long non-coding RNA (PPAT_LNC002192)". Lineage: Eukaryota; Viridiplantae; Streptophyta; Bryopsida; Funariales; Funariaceae. The record is from RNAcentral.
UAUACGUGGCCAGUCUGACUAGGCGCUCGCUGUCACGUGACUCGCACUCGAUGGUGACACUUGGAGGAUAUUAAAUGUGACGUGGUCAUCUUAUGAGGAGUCACUCGUUGGGAUAUUUUGCCCUCUUCACUGCAUGGUUUUGAUCGAGUGGAAUUGAUUUGUUUUCUAUUAAUAUGAUGCCGAAUUAUAGUCUUUUCUCUAACUUCUGUUUCAUGCUAUUUUCUACAGUUUGGUUUUGGUAUAAUUGUUGGGGGUAUUGACAUAGUUUUAUUGGAUACUGGAUUUGAUCUUUUCCCCAAAGAUAUUGGAAUUCGGUGUGUGGACUAUUCUGUAUUUGUAAGAAAAUAUGUUUUAUGGAUGUGUAAGAGUUUAAAUAUGUAUGUAUAUAUUUAUACAUAUUUACUUAUUUAUCUAUUUCAAACGGGAAGAAUUUUUAUCUUGAUAAGUGAUUGCAGGAUUGUGAUUCUGUACAUUUUCAUCAAAAUUUGUGAAUUUUAUUGCAUAAUUGUAUUUAUCUGAAAGUACUUUUUAAAUAUUUGUCUUGAAGUCAAGUGAGUGGAUGUGUGGAAUGUGAAUAUUUGUCAUUUAGUAAAGUAUGUGAGGAAGAUCACUGCGACAAUCUAUCAGUAUAUUGUUUUCAAAACUCUAAAAUAAUAUAUUAAUUAAGAUCACCUACCAAGAAUUGUAUAUCUCUGGGAGCUGAAAAAAUCAAUUUCAGUGCUGUAAAUUCUUUUAUUUUUUAUUUUGAAAAAUAAAAAAUUACAGAAUAUGCAACUAUGAAGUGAUGACCAAAAAUUAGAUUGAAUGCUUGCUAUACAUAUGGAAGUACAAAUGGUUGUGUUAAAAAACAAGUGUAGGCAAUGCACUCAAAGGAUAUUUUAUCAUUUUGUUGGUAAGUUAACUUACAUGCUAAUUAAAUUUUUAAUUACGUCAUUCUUUUUUUCAAGUAUGUAAAUCAAAAUUUUAAAAGAUUGUAUGUAUUUUGUUAUUUAUAAAUUUUACUUCUAGAUUGUAAACUAAAUCUCAAAGAGAAUCUAUCAAUAAGCACGAUCUUUUGGGUACUGGCUCCAAAUUUAAUACAACGUUUUUUUAAUCUUUUAAUGUUAUCAUAGACAGCAAAGACUCGUUUCACAUAUUCUUGUUCAUUCUUAUUUCAGUUUGCAUUAUAACAAAAAAAA